CCCAACCAAGGGCAGACGUCUUUACGCGGUGCUGGGGAUCAGUACUUGCAGUUAAAUUCGUCACUCAACUGAUUGAGGAAGCUAAGAUCUGC
This 92-nucleotide non-coding RNA is filed under the name Talaromyces stipitatus ATCC 10500. Lineage: Eukaryota; Fungi; Ascomycota; Eurotiomycetes; Eurotiales; Trichocomaceae. The record is from RNAcentral.